Molecule: ribosomal RNA, 545 nt
Filed under: Escovopsis sp. 10-20
Lineage: Eukaryota; Fungi; Ascomycota; Sordariomycetes; Hypocreales; Hypocreaceae
Description: eukaryotic LSU rRNA
Rfam family: Eukaryotic large subunit ribosomal RNA
Source: RNAcentral
GGAUUGCCCCAGUAACGGUGAGUGAAACGGCAACAUCUCAAAUUUGAAAUCUGGCCCCAGGGCCCGAGUUGUAAUUUGCAGAGGAUGCUUCUGGCGAGGCGCCGCCGAGUUCCCUGGAACGGGACUCCGCAGAGGGUGAGAGCCCCGUCUGGCUGGCCGCCGAGCCUCUGUGAAGCUCCUUCGACGAGUCGAGUAGUUUGGGAAUGCUGCUCAAAACGGGAGGUAUAUGCCUUCUAAAGCUAAAUAUUGGCCAGAGACCGAUAGCGCACAAGUAGAGUGAUCGAAAGAUGAAAAGCACUUUGAAAAGAGGGUUAAACAGUACGUGAAAUUGUUGAAAGGGAAGCGCUCGCGACCAGACUCGCGGCGGGCGGAUCAUCGGGCGUUCUCGCCCGUGCACUCCGCCCGCCGCGGGCCAGCAUCGGCUCGCCCUGGGGGACAAAGGCGCUGGGAAUGUGGCUCCUCCGGGAGUGUUAUAGCCCGGCGCGCAAUGCCCUGUGGCGGGCCGAGGACCGCGCGUUCUACGCAAGGAUGCUGGCGUAAGGUCG